CCCCCCACAACGGCUUCCUGACGUGGUGAGGGAUAUCCCAAUGGAGCA
RNAcentral lists this non-coding RNA (48 nucleotides) under unclassified sequences. Its description in RNAcentral is "SAM-SAH-Weickhmann-2018 RNA". It matches the Rfam family "SAM/SAH riboswitch aptamer". The record is from RNAcentral.